RNAcentral lists this ribosomal RNA (284 nucleotides) under Segatella copri DSM 18205. RNAcentral's name for it is "Prevotella copri DSM 18205 partial 16S ribosomal RNA". It matches the Rfam family "Bacterial small subunit ribosomal RNA", at positions 493 to 776 of the family's 1533-position model. Lineage: Bacteria; Pseudomonadati; Bacteroidota; Bacteroidia; Bacteroidales; Prevotellaceae. The record is from RNAcentral.
CCCCCCCCCCCCCCCCCCCCCGCCGCGGUAAUACGGAAGGUCCGGGCGUUAUCCGGAUUUAUUGGGUUUAAAGGGAGCGUAGGCCGGAGAUUAAGCGUGUUGUGAAAUGUAGACGCUCAACGUCUGCACUGCAGCGCGAACUGGUUUCCUUGAGUACGCACAAAGUGGGCGGAAUUCGUGGUGUAGCGGUGAAAUGCUUAGAUAUCACGAAGAACUCCGAUUGCGAAGGCAGCUCACUGGAGCGCAACUGACGCUGAAGCUCGAAAGUGCGGGUAUCGAACAGG